GGGAAAGAGCUGGGAGAUUGGGCAAAAUGGGUGAAGGGGAGUGGGAGAUACAGGCUUCUAGUUGUGGAAUGAGUAACUCAUGGGGAUAAAGGACAACAGCAUAAAGAAUACAGUCAGUGACAUUGUAGUGAUAGUGAGGUAUCAGGACAGGUGGUAGCUACUCUUGUUGGUGAA
This is a long non-coding RNA of Herpailurus yagouaroundi (jaguarundi), 174 nucleotides long. RefSeq lists it as uncharacterized. NCBI's taxonomy places the organism in Eukaryota, Metazoa, Chordata, Mammalia, Carnivora, Felidae. The record is from RefSeq and is a predicted model, not a curated record. The transcript is spliced from 3 exons.